Molecule: ribosomal RNA, 98 nt
Filed under: Acanthosepion pharaonis
Lineage: Eukaryota; Metazoa; Mollusca; Cephalopoda; Sepiida; Sepiidae
Source: RNAcentral
AUUAAAGCACUGGUUCCCAUUUGAUCACCAAAGUUAAGCAACAUCAAGUCUGGUCAGAACCUAGAUGGGUGACUGAUUGGGAAUACCAGGUGCUGUAA